CGGACGGCGGCAGGGAGGGGCGGAAUCCCGGAGCUGCUUCGCCCAGUGCCAAGCUCGGCGAGCACACUUCCUGUAAUCUGCUGGGUGAACCAGUGGGAUGAAAGGAGGUGGCAAAGCAGCGCUGCUCCGGAGACUCCUCCCAGCUGGGCUCGGCAGCUGUCCGGCUUUGUCUAAGGUAAUUGGCCGAGCCUUUCCUCUUAUUCACGGGGAGGAGUCCCGCCUCGGGAAGGAAUGUCAGGUGCAGAAAGGCAGACUUCGUGGGUGACUUCAACUUCAUUACACAGUGACUUCAACUUCCUUACGAGCAAAACAAACGAAGGCUGCCUCCUGAGGUAACUGCAUUCUCCCAUAAGAACAAUGUAAUUUUUUAAAAUCUACACACAUAACAAAAUGAACAGCUCAGAGUGAAUAAAUGUAGGUAGAGGUAUGAAAAUGGCAAUCCUGAGGGCAGAUGCAAAGAUAAAAAGUAUUUUGCUAUCGUUCGCCAGUCUCUUCCUAUUUGAUUCUGCUUCCAGAUAAUCAACGUAAGGAUAGAUUCAUUUUAGUGAAAAUUUCUGCUCCUCUCUGAAUUAUUACUCUUGAAUGAUUUUAAAAAUGGACCAGAACAGAACUUGUUGGCAUAUAUUAAUUUUCCCUGCUCCAGUGAUUCUCAAUUCCCUGUAAACGGCAUAACACCUUAUGCUACAUGUAGCCUUUGUUGGAAUGAACCUACUAUGUGCAGUCCCUGGGUUAGGCAUUUCAACUCUUCAGAUAAGUAAAGCAGGAAUAUUCUAAAGCCUCAGUAUUAUCAUGAGGAAACCAUAUAGUGUUACUACCUUUUUUUCCCCCUUUGGGCAAGAAAAGUAAAAAAUGAAUUUGAAAAGCCAGAUCUUAAUACAAUGGUUAUUCACAACUAUGCCCUGUCAUAGACUACCAGUUUCCAAAUAUCACCAAAUAUAAUGUACAAUUUUUAAAACUUCACCUCAAAUAUCACAUACAUAUUUCAUAAUACCGUAGGAAAAGUAGAAAAGAUGUACCAGAGUCAAACAAGUAACAGGAUGCCACAACUCCAAAAAAGUCACUGUAACCAAAAUAUAUACAUAAAAAUUAUAUUCCAAAAACCUUAAAUGGAAAAGGGCUGAACAUAUUUAAACUUUUUCUGAAAUUCCAAAGCUAAGAAAACUUUGUGACUGAAAGCAAAGACUCCUUUAUAUGUAAUGCUCAGAGUAUGCAAUGUAACCUAAUAUUUAAACUGACUGAAAUUUAAGUACAAGUGGAAAGUAGGCUGAUAGAAAACCUGAGUUCUGUGUCGUUUUUUGUUUUGUGUGUUUUUAAAUGGUGUGAGUACCAGUACCUCCAUUUUUUCCCCCCAUACAAAAUGAAACUGAGUACUCAAAAAACUCCUGGGAAUGCAGGAAGACCUAAUGAGAUACUGGGGUGGAAAUAAUGAAGUUCCUUACAGAAAGACAUACUGUCUCAAAGAUAAACAUGAGGUGUUUCUGAUAUAAUCAACUAGAAUCCCAGAUAAUUGCUAGACUGCAAAGAAUUGCAAGAUUCUUUCUAACCCGCACCUCCAAGGGGAGGUGGAAAGGGGAAAAGUAAUUACAGAAAACUGUCAAAAGUCUACGCAUCCAGGUACACAAAAAAUAUCAAUCAUGAAUUGAACAGGAUAUAAAUCCUCAAAGGUCCCAGAUACACAUAAAAAGACUUACAGACUAAAAGAAUGGUGUCUUCAUUCGACGAGGAACUUAUUUUUUGCCUAAUAAAAUAAAGAUAAACCUCUAAUUAAUUGUUCAAAUGCAACAAGACCUGUUAAAAAACAUUUGAGUGUAUGAAUGCAAUCCAGUCCUUAAUAAAACAACAAAAAACUGAAAAGAUCUUCAAUAAACAUAACUGUUCAGGGGGAAAUCUCUGCAUAUGUUCUAUUUUGAGGUGUCUGGCAGCAUUUUAGAUGAAAAUAGCAGACCAACAUCAAAGAUUAUGAAAGAAGAGCUAGAAAGACAAAAUGUAUGACCUAGACAAAAAGCAACAGCUCUGCAAUAAUUCUCUUAUUACUCCAAGACCUGAAUAAACAAUGUAAUUUUCAGUAAGCUGUGACUGAAAAUCCCCAUCUCCUAUACUCUAUGUGGAAACACACAGGAACUGUCCAUGGGGUUCUUAAUCAAUCUUUUCUGGAUCACACACUUUUUGUGGAUCUCUUCAAAGCUAUGAACUCAGUCACUGGAAUGACAUACAUGAAAUUCAUGAAUGAACAGACACAGUGUUUUCGACACAAUUCCAAAUGAUCCAUGGAUUCCCCUAAAGCUUGUCCACACAUCCAUUUUAAGAACUCUUGUUUCCAUCAUAACUAAAAAUGAGAUGGACAUCAAUCACUAAGCAAUCCUGCCUUCUACUUUCCACCAUAGGUAAGAGUUCUAAGUAGGUUUCAGAAACAGAAAAAAAGUCUGCCUUUGACAUGUUGGCCCCAGCUCCCAUUCAUUACAUUUUCCAUAUGUGUUUGUCAAACAAUAAUAAUCUACUUCCAAAGCCACAAACAGACUUUAUGAAAUGGUAUUUUAUUUUCAUUUUUAGCAUCUUUAUAGAAAAACCAAGAAAAAUAUUUUAUUCUCCUUGUUUUAUGUAUCAUAUAUAACCCCACAAUUAUCUUACUACUACACUUCAACCUGCUGUGUAUGUAUAAACCUACCUACAUAUGCUUGUUUUUACCAAACUAGGACUAUACUGUUUUCUGAUUUGCUUUAUCACUAAAAAAAAAAAUCCAAAACAAUCAGCAACCAAAAACAUACAAAAUACCUUGGAUGAAUACUUAUAAAACUUAAAUAAUCAUCCCAAUUUAGUUGGUUUCCAUAUUCAAAACACUUGCCCCUCCUUUUGCAACUUCAUUCUUAAAAUUCUAAACCCAUUUUUUAAAUAAAUUGAUAUUAAAGUUGUAUACUACUGAAUUCCAUGUAAUACAAACUACACUUUUGCAGAGAAGUAAACUAAAGUUCAAAGAGGUUUUCAAAUUUGACCCUAAAAUCAGAGUUAAUAUUUGAGUCAGAACUAGAACCCCAAUACAAAUUUCAUUGUGUUGCUUUUUUCCAUUACAUCAUGCUUCCCCUUUUUUUAAUAAACUAAAACGCACUAAAAAUGAACACUACUUAAUAUAUUCAUACGGUACACUUUUUUAGGAAACCAAAUAAUUAUUCUAUUUAAAAAAUGUGAACCUUUAUACUUUAAGUUAAAUGAGUUUCCCUAAAGCCUGGCACAACUUAAUAUGCUUACAGUUUCUUUCCCUAUCUCCUUAGUGUCCAUUCUUAUAAUAGUGUUAUAUAAAAUAAGUUAUAUUGUUCAAACAUUGUGCGCUUUAACCAGUGUCCUGUAAUAACCCAGUAGAAGUAACAGUGCCAGCUACGAGUCAAUAAAACUAAGCCUAAAUUUAAGAGGCGAAAUUUCAAUAUGCAACACCAUGUCAUUUCAGAAAGCCCCCUUUCAUUCAUGCACUAAACCAGUUAUGACACCCUUUACUUUUAUGGAGGUCUUAGUAAGCAAACAGAAAACCUAAACAAUUGUCAUAAACAUGGCAAGUGCUAUAAUAGCAAGAAGAGUAAUGACACACGGAAGGAGUAAUGAACCUUUAUGGGACAAAAAAAGUCUUAAAUCUGGAGUCUUUAAGGUUGGAGAGGAAUUUUGCCAACAGACAAAAAAGAAGGGCAUCCCAUGCAGAAAAACAAGACAAAACAAAAAACUCCACAAGUUAACACAGAGGUGUGAUUCAAGUGGUUAGUAAAACUUAGUUUUUCCGCAUUAACAAGGCAACAUGUUAGCCUACAGCAUUCAGCAUAUUUUUUUUGUUUGCUUGGUCUAAAGUGUAGACUGUAACAAAAUUAAGUUAUUCCUCAUUUCUAAAUUUCAUGUUGGGGUUUACCAUUUUUUCUAUAAACUGCCCAAAUGGGAAUAGCCCAUCAUUAACAAAUAAUAAUGUGAUAGGUUCACUCUUUAUGUAAAGUUAUGACUCUUAGUUACUGUCUGCAUUUAAGGCAAAGAGGAAGGAAAUCUACUUCCAAAAAAUUUAGUAAAUCAUGCUGCCAGUUUUGGACACACUGUGGUAAUUCAACCCCCUUAAAUGAUACAAGAUUUGUAUCUUGCAAAAAUUAAUUUCACUUGGCAAUCCCACACUAGAUAACAAUACAGAUACCACAUUUCAUCUACACAGAUUAAGUAACUUGUGUAGUUAUUUAUAAAAGCCCCAAGCCACUGUCAUAACUCUGAAAGUGGUAAGAAGUUAAAAGAUGUUGAAGAUCAAAAAAUUUGAAUACCUCUUGUAUUCAAUUCCAUUAACUACCUCAUGGCAAUGACUGAAUUUAAAGAGCAGCCAACCACAUCAAAAAGCAUUUUUAUUUUGAUGAACUGAACAUGGCUCUUUCAAAUAGGCUAAAUUAAGGUUGCCUCCUUUUCUAUCAGCAAUAUUUUAGGGUUUGCAUUUACUUCCUCCAAAAAAAUUCAUGCCAUGCAUCACCUGCAGUAAAUAUAUACAAGGCAAAGGGAGAGAAGAAAAGGUAGAAGAGCGAGAGAGGAAAGAGUUUAUUAUGUGCCAAACAACUAACAACCAAGUGCCAAACAACUAACAGGGCUAUUAUUUACUAUGUUGCAAAGAGCACUCAGUAAGAUCAUAUGUACAGAAUAAUUAAACACUACAGAAACAAGUCCUUCAAACAGUUUACAAGGUGUUCCAACUGCUGGUCCCUGCUUUCCCUCUCCAGACAUCUCACACUACUUUCAACUUGAUAACUCCAAAUCUCAACUUAGAUGUCUUUCCUCUAGGAAAGCCUUCUCUUCAACCUUCACCAACCCUGUUAUCCACCUCAUCGGUUGAUUCGUCCUUACUACACUGUAGAGUAAUCCUCCCUUAUCUGUGGAGGAUACAUCCAAGACCUUCAGUGGAUGCCUAAAACCAUGGAUAAGUACUGAACCUUAUACAUGCUGUGUAUUUUCCUAAACUACAUACUUAUGAUAAAAUUUAAUGUAAAUGGUG
Long non-coding RNA from Felis catus (domestic cat), 4993 nucleotides. RefSeq lists it as uncharacterized. The transcript is spliced from 2 exons. The record is from RefSeq and is a predicted model, not a curated record. NCBI's taxonomy places the organism in Eukaryota, Metazoa, Chordata, Mammalia, Carnivora, Felidae.